ACGACAUUGUUUUGACUAUUUGCAUGUAUAAAAGUUCUAAUAAAUAAGAUAGGGUAUUUCUACAUAGCUGGUGGGACCCACGGCAAAUCGAUCAUAAAGUCUUCAAAAAAGAAUAGAUAUGAUUGCAUUGCAUGUAGUAACAGAUGCGAUCAUACCAACACUAAUGCACCGGAUCCCAUCAGAACUCCACAGUUAAGCGUGCUUGGGCGUGAGUUGUAGAUAGAGAUGGGUGACCUCCUAGAAAGUCCUCGUGUUGCAUCCCUC
This 264-nucleotide ribosomal RNA is filed under the name Arabidopsis thaliana (thale cress). The record is from RNAcentral. Lineage: Eukaryota; Viridiplantae; Streptophyta; Magnoliopsida; Brassicales; Brassicaceae.